This is a long non-coding RNA of Passer domesticus (house sparrow), 3722 nucleotides long. RefSeq lists it as uncharacterized. The record is from RefSeq and is a predicted model, not a curated record. NCBI's taxonomy places the organism in Eukaryota, Metazoa, Chordata, Aves, Passeriformes, Passeridae. The transcript is spliced from 3 exons.
CAUUUAAGGUGGCCACUAAGGGUUUGGAUACGCCUCUGAGAACACACGGGGGUUAAAAGCAGGAGAUUCCCAGAGAACUUCCUCUUUGGGAAUCCGGCGUUGGUGAGUAGAGUCUGGCCUCUCCCCUGCCCAGCUGCGUCUGGGUGGGGGAGGGGGAGGCCAUGAUGGGGAGGAGGCCGGGAGCCCCAAAAGGUGCAGAGGUGGAGGAGAACAUGCAGGGGUUGAUGAGAAUUGAGAUGUCUGGGCAGCCCCCCCGGAGAGAGAGACAGAAAUUGCGCGGGCAACUCAGCCGGCCAGAAGCGGGGGAUGCGGCAGAGAGAAGGUGCCCGGCAGAUGUGGGAGUCCUUGGGCAGGCAGAGUUGAAGAUUUUAACCCCUUUGUAGACUAAUAGAAACCUUACAAAUACUGAAUCCUCCUGAAUCAGGAUGAGGUGAGAGAGAGAUGAGAGAUGGGCAAGCGUGAGGAAAGCUGGAAGAGAGAAGAAUCCUGAGUGGAAGAGAUGAUGGAGUGGCCUUGGGCUGGACUCUUUCUUGUAUAGCCAUGGACAGACCCGUGUUUUUUCCCUGUGACCCAGAGACUGUAUUUAGGGGGAGGCAACACCCGGGAGUCAAGAGUGAAGCAGCGGCGUGAACAGACACGGCUGAGGAGGGUGUGGGAGGCCCUCUGUCUCCACGGAGAGGAAGAUCUCUGUUCAUGAGGCCCCUCGGCCCCAGGGGGUGAAAUCUGGGGGGGACUGGUGUCCCAAGAGUUGAGAGACUGCUGUUUCUGGAAGUGGGUGGAGCAUCUUUAAACGGGGAGCCCUAAAGGCAGUCCUGGCCCGUGUCCAGUGCUCUGUGUGCAAAUGAUGGAAAUCAGACUGGAUAUCCCAGCCUUAGCUAAAUGAAGACUUACAGGGGAAAAGUGAAGAUGGUAAAUUGGCUUCAGUGGGGACAUACAAGCUUGGCACCACUUCAGGUUCAAAGUGGAUAAUUUCAGAGGAGUUCCUGAUACACAAAUGAAUACGUAGAACUCUCCCUUCCUGAAUGACAAAGGAACAUCUCCUCACAUACUUCAGGGUAUUUUUUUAAACAGGAUUUAAUAUUAUUGUCUGUGUUUUAGUGCUACAGCUGGUUCUUAUGCCUGAUGCUUUUUUCUUCUCCCACUGAGUCUAAUUUCCUCAAAACUAAACAAAUCAUAUAACUCUCUCCACGAUCAUGCUGCAGUGGUGUUGUCAUAAUUAUUUUUAUCUUCUCUUGUACAAGCCAUAUUAAAUAGUGGCUAUUAUAAGGUUUUUCAAUUUAGACUUAAUUGGCAAUCUGAAGCCUACAAUUUUUUUGCUAUUCAUCAUAAUGACUUUAAAGUGUACUCUGCCUAAAUUCUGGAUCCAGUAAAUCAGGAACAUUGUAUCGCUCUAGGAAAAGAAAGAAGCCUAAGGAGGAAAAUAAAACAUCUAGGUAGAACCUGCUUGAGAUGCAGGUUCCUGUGCUGAGGCAAGGAUGGGAAGUUUGUUCCCCAGUAAUAAAUGGCAGUGCUCCAUUCUAAAGAAAUGAGGACAGAUGAGUUGAAGUCAUAUAGUAAAAGUUUGGGAGAGUUUGUGGCAUGUGUUGAGAAUUGACACAGAAACACUUUGCUAAGCAGGACCUAAAGUAACCAUAUGUUCUCAAUGUGUCUGCUUGUCUUGGUGAAUGGGAUUAUCUGUUUUCACAUCCCAGUUACAAUCAAGAGAGAGUACAUGUAUGACCUGAGCUAGAAAGGCUGUGUACAGGCUAGUAGUGCCAUGCCAAUACUCCCCAGAAAAAAACAAAAACAAAAACAAAAACAAAAAAAAAAAAAAAAAAAAAAAAAAACCAAAAAAACCCCAAAAAAAACAAAAACAUCAAAUGGUACCAAUUCCUCUCUGAAAUACCUUUUUCUGAACUGGGUUUGAGCCUUUUUUUUUUUCUCUCCACAAUUGCCCCUUCCUUGCUUUUCUGUCUCCUUCCAGAAGUGCUGUGCUUCCCAUGCUAGUUCCUACUCGGAUCACAAGACUCUGUUUGUUAUGCUCCCUCCAUAAAACUAAAUGCAGAGCUCAAGGCCACUGUGUAAAGCAAUCAUGCUUGCAUCUUGAAUGGGCACAUCUUCUUUAAAUGUUCAUAAUAUUGUAAAAACAUGCAUAGCACUAAAAUUGUCUGCCUCUCCCCCACCUCCCAAGAUCAAUACAUAGCAGACUAGAGAUAGAUAGAGUUUUUCUAAAAUUUACAGUUAUAACUGAAGUUUAAUACCUUAGUUCAACUAAGGUAUUAAAUACCUUAGUUGUCUUGAUCUCUAUUUGCCUUAUUUAAUCGAUCCUAACAUCAUCUCUCUUUGAGGAUUUUUGAAAUAUAUAUGUAUAUAAAUAAAAAUGUAACUUUUUUUUUUAAUGUUUCACUAUAUGACCUCAAGGCCCAGAGCCUUAUUUACAGACUCUUUAUUCACUUUUUUUUUGGCAAGCAGAUUUUGCAUUAGUUUGCUCAAAACCUGAAAGCAGCAUCAAGGAUUAACAGAAUCUAAAAUUCAUCAUCUACAGCUCCUCAAGUGUGAAUUUAAUAUGGAAGAAAGCUGACAGUAUUAUUGCUGCCAGGGUAUAUGGCUCUGAAACCAUUCAGCAGGGCCAGAAUGAAUUUGGUUCACAUCUGAAAAAGAUGCCUAUUGACAAAAAUGCAUCAGCCCAUUUCUCAAGGGAAAAUCAAAACCAUUCUUUUCCAGGAUUUACAUACAGAGCUUUGGAAAGCAUUUAUUUUACAAACAAAACCAGGCAUAUUGCUUCCUCUCUAUGCUGCACUCAUCAACUCAGUAUUCUAAUAGAUUUAACAAGAGGCACCAGUAAAACCAUGGUUUGACCAGAGCAAAUUAUUUAUAAUUAAUGCUUACAAGCCAGAUUAAUUUAGUCUCAUUCCUCUCAAAGUGACUGGUUUCCCUAUGAGGGCGUUUCACCCAUUGCUAACCACGAAAAAGCCACCUUUGAGGACAGCUUUGAGUGACCAGCUCCAUCAGAGGUCACAUCCAGAGAGACUUGUCCAUUACACUGCUUCCUAUUUCUUCCUAUCGCUCUUUGAGUAGUUGCAGAAAAGUACUUGAGAUUUUAUUAUCUGAACUAUGGGAUCAGUUAUAAUUAAUGUGAAAUUGUUUGUUUCCUGGCAGGAUGAUGCCACGUCUCGGGAUGUGGGUAAACUGAUCAUGAUGAUGGUCUCUCCCUUUGGGUGAGGAAAACUUGGAAGAAAAGCUGAGGAAGCCACACAUGCUUUUAUUUCUUCAGUAAAUUGUGGCAAUUUAAAGCUAGGUAGCAGAGAGAGUUACAGAUCUUAAACUAAUAAUAUUGAUUUUCCUUUCUGGAACACACAGCCCCUCUACAAAACAUUGCUCUCAGAAAAAAUAUUAGACAUCUGCUAAGCUGUGCUUAACAGAAGUAUUUAUGUUACUCUUACACUGAAUUAAGCAGGGUGACAUAUAGCAAGUACAUAGGAUUAAUCAUAUGAUUUACUAAUUUUCACCAUCACUACAGUUAUUCUUCUAAUCUUGCAUGCUGAAAUUGAAGUGCUUUAGCAAAGGCCUAACACUGUCUCUUAAGCUUUAGAAGUUACUCUUGUACGUUUCAGAGAGCAUGUUUACAUACUGAGUUUUUAGACUGAUACAUAGAUAUAGAUUCCUGUCUGUAUUUUUGUAGAUAAAUGUAUUUUUUUGCAUUUUAAAUAAACUGGAUGGAAAUAAAAUAAUGUAAUAAACGA